UACGUAGGGGGCAAGCGUUGUCCGGAAUCAUUGGGCGUAAAGAGCGUGUAGGCGGCCCGAUUAGUCCGCUGUGAAAGUCCAGGGCUCAACCCUGGAAUGCCGGUGGAUACUGUCGGGCUAGAAUCCGGAAGAGGCGAGUGGAAUUCCUGGUGUAGCGGUGAAAUGCGCAUAUAUCGGGAGGAACACCAAUGGCGAAGGCAGCUCGCUGGGACGGAACUGACGCUAAGGCGCGAAAGCGUGGGGAGCGAACAGG
RNAcentral lists this ribosomal RNA (253 nucleotides) under uncultured bacterium. RNAcentral describes it as "partial 16S ribosomal RNA". It matches the Rfam family "Bacterial small subunit ribosomal RNA", at positions 524 to 776 of the family's 1533-position model. The record is from RNAcentral.